RNAcentral lists this ribosomal RNA (1042 nucleotides) under Bacillus subtilis. RNAcentral's name for it is "bacterial SSU rRNA". It matches the Rfam family "Bacterial small subunit ribosomal RNA", at positions 36 to 1114 of the family's 1533-position model. Lineage: Bacteria; Bacillati; Bacillota; Bacilli; Caryophanales; Bacillaceae. The record is from RNAcentral.
CGAACGGGCGACUAAUACUGCAGUCGAGCGGACAGAUGGGAGCUUGCUCCCUGAUGUUAGCGGCGGACGGGUGAGUAACACGUGGGUAACCUGCCUGUAAGACUGGGAUAACUCCGGGAAACCGGGGCUAAUACCGGAUGCUUGUUUGAACCGCAUGGUUCAAACAUAAAAGGUGGCUUCGGCUACCACUUACAGAUGGACCCGCGGCGCAUUAGCUAGUUGGUGAGGUAAUGGCUCACCAAGGCAACGAUGCGUAGCCGACCUGAGAGGGUGAUCGGCCACACUGGGACUGAGACACGGCCCAGACUCCUACGGGAGGCAGCAGUAGGGAUCUUCCGCAAUGGACGAAAGUCUGACGGAGCAACGCCGCGUGAGUGAUGAAGGUUUCGGAUCGUAAAGCUCUGUUGUUAGGGAAGAACAAGUACCGUUCGAAUAGGGCGGUACCUUGACGGUACCUAACCAGAAAGCCACGGCUAACUACGUGCCAGCAGCCGCGGUAUACGUAGGUGGCAAGCGUUGUCCGGAAUUAUUGGGCGUAAAGGGCUCGCAGGCGGUCCUUAAGUCUGAUGUGAAAGCCCCCGGCUCAACCGGGGAGGGUCAUUGGAAACUGGGGAACUUGAGUGCAGAAGAGGAGAGUGGAAUUCCACGUGUAGCGGUGAAAUGCGUAGAGAUGUGGAGGAACACCAGUGGCGAAGCGACUCUCUGGUCUGUAACUGACGCUGAGGAGCGAAAGCGUGGGGAGCGAACAGGAUUAGAUACCCUGGUAGUCCACGCCGUAACGAUGAGUGCUAGUGUUAGGGGGUUUCCGCCCCUUAGUGCUGCAGCUACGCAUAGCACUCGCUGGGGAGUACGGUCGCAGACUGAACUCAAGGAUGACGGGGCCGCACAGCGUGAGCAUGUGUUUAUCGAGCACGCGAGACUAACAGUCUGACAUCUCUGACAUCCUAGAGAUAGACGUCCAUCGGGGCAGAUGAAGUGGUGCAUGGUUGUCGUCAGCUCUGUCUGGAAUGUAGCUAAGUCCGCACGAGGCACUGACUAGUGC